Molecule: ribosomal RNA, 257 nt
Filed under: uncultured bacterium
Lineage: Bacteria
Description: partial 16S ribosomal RNA
Rfam family: Bacterial small subunit ribosomal RNA
Source: RNAcentral
UACGUAGGGUGCAAGCGUUAAUCGGAAUUACUGGGCGUAAAGCGUGCGCAGGCGGUGAUGUAAGACAGAUGUGAAAUCCCCGGGGCUCAACCUGGGAACUGCAUUUGUGACUGCAUCGCUGGAGUGCGGCAGAGGGGGAUGGAAUUCCGCGUGUAGCAGUGAAAUGCGUAGAUAUGCGGAGGAACACCGAUGGCGAAGGCAAUCCCCUGGACCUGUACUGACGCUCAUGCACGAAAGCGUGGGGAGCAAACAGGAUU